GCUGACCCCUGGGAUGCCUAUGAUGCCAAAGUGGUGAGCCCAGAGAAGGGGAACCUGUGGGAUUGCCAGGAGCCCCAGCAGCCCAGAGAGGGGAACACCAAUACAAACCUGACCCGCAGCAACCCAGACAGGGGGGCCUCCAGGAGCCCGAAGUGGAGAGACCAGAGAGGGGAAACUGAGGGUUGGGUAUUUUUGCUGCAUCUUGGUAAUUUGUGCAUUUUGAGGGACUGAAUCUUGGUGUUUUGGGGGUUUACAUGGGCACCAAAUUCCCAGUGACUUCUAGAGUGUGAAGGUGCAGGGGCCCAACACUGGAACUGUAAUACCUCAGGGCAAAGGUGACCAGAGUCAGAGAGAGACACCCCUCUGAGGACAAUGGUCUCACCAUCAGCAUUUGCAGGCUCAUGUUAAUGCAGCAGCCUUCAUUGGUAUCACCCAGUCCAGCUGCCCUUUUUUCCUUAUAUGUACUCCCCUUAGAAUGUUCUCCCCUCUCUUGUCCCCCAUUGGUCCCGGUUUACUGCAAUGCUCCGCCCCUGUUACCUCAUUGGUUCCCCAGUGGGCUGCCCCUCCUCUGCACCACCUGUGCUCAGUUCCCAUUGGCCCUUGGCCCUCAGACCCGCCCCUUUCCCCCCUUAUCAAACCCUGUGUCCUCAGCCCCAUUUUGUCUCUGUGCCUGGACCCUCUACAUUGCAAUAAACUGUGUUUGGAGCUGUGCACACAGACCCAUCUCUGGUCUUGUCCAUCAGCAGGAUUUCUCAUUCCCAAACCUUGGCCGGAUGGAGGAGGAGGCUGUGAGGAAGAGGAAGAAGCCCUGGAACAUGCAGGCAGAAAAGGAGCUGAGGAUGGAGAGCAGGGAGGAAAAAUCCCCACAGAAGAACCCCAUGGAAGAGGCUGUUCUGAGCAGCUCGACGGCACAGGAAUCCAACAGAGAGGAAAAGCCCCAGAGAUCCCACAGGACCAGGGGCUCCAAACCCAGCCCAGGUUGCUCUGAGGUGGACAGACCCACCCUGUGCCAGGAAGGUGGACAGAGCUUCAGGCAGAGCUGGUGGCCCAUGAGCAGCUUCAUGAUGGGGAGAAGUCCUACAGGUGUUUGGAGUGUGGGAAGAGCUUCAGGAAGAGCAGCACCCUGAUCCGCCACCAGAGGAUCCACACUGGGGAAUGGGCCUACGAGUGUGGGGAGUGUG
This is a long non-coding RNA of Passer domesticus (house sparrow), 1181 nucleotides long. RefSeq lists it as uncharacterized. The record is from RefSeq and is a predicted model, not a curated record. The transcript is spliced from 3 exons. NCBI's taxonomy places the organism in Eukaryota, Metazoa, Chordata, Aves, Passeriformes, Passeridae.